GGGUAGGUGGCAGAGUGGUGAUGCGCGAGACUGCAGAUCUCGUUUAUUGGGGUUCGAUUCCCCACCUACCCU
RNAcentral lists this transfer RNA (72 nucleotides) under Thermoplasmata archaeon. RNAcentral's name for it is "tRNA-Cys". It matches the Rfam family "tRNA". Rfam says of the family: Transfer RNA (tRNA) molecules are approximately 80 nucleotides in length. Their secondary structure includes four short double-helical elements and three loops (D, anti-codon, and T loops). The record is from RNAcentral. Lineage: Archaea; Methanobacteriati; Thermoplasmatota; Thermoplasmata.